Molecule: unclassified non-coding RNA, 2953 nt
Filed under: Daphnia pulicaria
Lineage: Eukaryota; Metazoa; Arthropoda; Branchiopoda; Diplostraca; Daphniidae
Description: sodium-coupled monocarboxylate transporter 1-like, transcript variant X2
Source: RNAcentral
AGGUUUCUUUUCCCGCCACAAUGACGAAUUUCCAAACGAUGGACUAGUUGAUCAGUCUGCGCGAACCCUUUUCGCCCUUCUGGUUAGGAGUUGACUUCGACAACGUAACCGCACCAAAGAAACCAACACAACCGAGAACGUAGAUACAUCUGAGCUUUUAGACUAUAAUGUAUUCCAAAAUGCAUUGCACGAACACCUGCGAGCUGUAAGCCAUGAAGACGAUCAGAUGCGUUCCACAAAUUCUUCUCGGUUCUGCUCGUCGCAAGAGUCCGGUUUUGUGUUGUUCGCUUGGAUAAGACGGCAAAUAUGGACAAAGGGACCGACUUUAAUAGAUAAAGCAUUUGAUAGCGAAACGGAAUUGGAAAAAAAAGUUGGCGUUCAUCCAAUAUGAAAAUGAUGCGCUUCCAUUGAAUUGCAGUUUGAAUUGCUACAAACUAGGUCAGGAGAAACCAGAGACUGGGUUGUCUGCCUGCUUUGUGCAGUCAGUCUAUUACACUGCAUGUAUAACAAAUAUUGUAUACAAACGGCAGACUGUUGGUCGGCCGGAAACGCUAUCAAUGCGAUAGCAUAGUAACAUCCCUCUUUUUCUUUUUUUUUACUAGUUUAUUAUUAGUGGAAUUUAUCUUAUUUUUUGUUUGGUUUUAUUGUAAGAUGCUGAGACGGUGAAGAGCUCAACGGAGUAGAAAGGAUAAAUUCGGCAGUAACACACUGACCACCAAACCGUGCGCAUCGUGUCAUUCUUGAUCGUCUUCAAACAAUGGAGGAGACCUCAAAAUCUCAUAAUGAGCUGUUAUUCGGCUGGGCGGAUUAUUUACUUUUCACUUCAACCUUACUGAUGUCGUUACUCAUUGGUGUCUAUCACGCUUGGCGAGGCAGUAACUCUACCUCCGAAUACUUGAUGGGAGGGAAGAGCAUGGGUAUAUUCCCCAUCGCAAUGUCUUUGGCUGCCAGUUCCAUUUCGGGGACGACAUUAUUAGGAACUCCAGCUGAUGUGUACCUCACAGGCACCAUGUAUUUAUGGAUGCCAUUGGCUAUGUUCCUUUGUACUCCAGCUACCGGUUACCUCUAUCUAGCCAUGUUUCAUCGUCUUCAGGUCGUUUCAGCUAAUCAGUAUCUUGAAUUACGAUUCAAUCACAUAGUGAGGCGCAUCGCUUCCUUCCUUUAUAUCGUCAAACAGUUGUUUUAUAUGGCCAUCAUAGUGUAUGCGCCGUCAUUGGCCUUGAAACAAGUAACCGGAAUCAAUGUUUACAUCUCCGUUGGAGUUCUGCUAAGCGUCUGUACCUUCUAUACUGCCCUUGGUGGACUUAAAGCAGUUGUCUGGACUGACACUUUACAAAUAUUUGUCAUGUAUGGUUCCUUUAUUACGGUACUUGUCAAGGGAAGCAUGGAUAUAGGAGGACUCAAUACGGUUUGGCAGCGCAAUUUUAAUUCAUCUCGCAUAGAAUUUUUUAACAUUGAUUUCGAUCCUACGACCCGCCAUACGAUUUGGUCUUUGGUUAUCGGAGGUUUCUUUUAUUGGACAUCUUUUUACGGAACGGAUCAGUCCAUCGUUCAGCGUUUUCUGGCUAUGCCAACGUUACCCAGAGCACAAAUAUCCAUGUGGUGUAAUUUAGUUGCAGCUGCUGGAAUUGUUGGCCUUGCUUGUUUCGGUGGUAUGAUUGUAUACGCCAAAUACUUUGAUUGCGAUCCUUUAUCAUCCAAAGUUAUUGAGAAAGCUGACCAGAUCAUGCCUUUAUUCGUCAUGGACACCGUUGGAAGUUUGCCUGGUUUGCCUGGCCUAUUCGUGGCAGGUGUUUUCUCUGGCGCAUUAAGUUCUUUGUCAAGUGGUUUGAAUUCUGUAGCUCUAAUCGUGUUGGAGGAUUUUAUUCGGCCUUUCUUUCCACUCAUUGAAGAUCAAACUGCCACUAAGAUCACUAAAGGGGUAGCAAUUUUAUUCGGAUGUAUAAACUUCGGAAUGGUUCUUCUCGUCUCACAAGUCCAGACUAUCUUGGAUGCUACUCUCAGCUUUAACGGAGCCGUCAACGGAGCAACCAUAGGCGUCUUUAGCUUGGGUAUGUUCGUUCCGCAAGCCAAUUCUAUCGGAGCCGGUUUUGGUUUAUUAGCAUCAUUUGCAACGAUGAUGUGGCUCGGAAUAGGAUCUCAAAUUGCAAAAUCGCGUGGACUAAGUCACAAUCAAUUGAAAUUGUUGAGAACCGACAGUUGUCCACUACUCAAUUCAACUGCGAGCGCUGCAAUAAGCAAUGGAUCGAUAUUUCGUACCUGUGGUACACAAUGAUAGGAAUGUUGAUUGUGCUGAUCCUCGGGACAAUAGUCAGCUUUUUAUCCGGACCACAAAAUCCUCAAAAACUUGACCCCAAACUUCUUUGCAAAUACAGCAACUGUUUUCGAUCGAGCAAAAAGGCCGGAGAGUUGCCUUCGGACCCCAAAACUGAUGACAUUGAACUAGAAUGAGUUUUAUAGUUUGACCUUUCAGUGAAACCUUGGAUUAUGCACUCCUUAACGUUAAGAGUUAACACUUUUGCCCCAAACCAUAAUUCAUCUCCUUCAAUCAAUAGUGACCUUCGCAAUUGUCAGUCUAGCCCCUUUGAAUAAGAAAUGAAGGCUACACUUCCAGUUUUUAUGUCGGACCACAGACCUUUGCAACAUUUUAAACUCAGCCUGCCAAAGUAAGGCGCUCGCAGCGGCCUUCUGUCUUCCAAUAUUGAGGUACGCUCAAGAGUAGAAAACCGUAAAUCAUAGUGAUUUUAUCCUUUUCCCUGUGGGUUGAUUAGAAAACGUUUUAACUCGACUUUUGUAAACCCGUUUUAUUUCUUUUAUUUUCUCUCGCAAUUCUUUUUUAAAAUAACUGUUUAAAUCAUCUACGCCUUAAUGUGAAAAGAUAAUUUAUUCAUGAAAAUCGAUGCGCUAAGGAAAUGGCGAGAAACCUGAGUACUACAUUGCGCGUUUUUUAUUA